GGAGAUUAGGAAUCAACGAGAUCAUUUUCUUUUCAAUAAUUAUAAUCAUACAAACAAAUUUGAGUCUGAAAAUUAGGAACCACCAGCAUUGGCUACAACUAGAACUGAUAAGGUUCCAAAUUAGUGACAUAAUUUAGCCGAAUCAUGAUGAAAUGUACAAUAAAUCGCAAAGAUACCGCUAAUUAAGCCGCAUUGUCACCAAGACAAUGGGCAUGUUCCUCUCUCUCUACAUAAUAAUCUUCAAUCAGGAAGCUCAGAUUUUGCAGUUAUCAUGGCCUGCAGAUAAUAACACCAGGGAAGUUAAUUUAUGUAAAGAAUGAAUAAAUAGAUGUUCUUAAACAGAAAAUGGUUAUGCUAAUUAUGAAUAAAAUGAAAGUGUGAUGAGACUGACUUGGAUUAGUGGUGGUAAUGACACCGGUGUUGGAGAAAUCACAGUUGAAAUCAUGGCGGCCAUUGGCUUGGUAGUAGGCAUUCAUGGCGUAGGUGGCAAGUGCCUUCACGUUGUUGGGGGCAUAGCAUACUCCACCAGGUUGAAUAGGUUUACAAUCAAUUCCUUGGCUGCAGACAUAGUUUAUGUUUGCUUGUAAAGCUGCAUCGUUAGCAUCUGCCUUUGGCACGCACCAUUUUCCACCUCCGGGUGCCGGUGCAGGACCAGGUUUUGUCGACGGUGCAGGUCCAGGUUUUGUCGACGGUGCAGGUCCAGGAUUUACAGGUGCAAUAUUCUGUAUUAUGGCAAGAAAUUGAAUAAAUUUAGUAAAAUAAUAAUAAUAAUAAAAAUAUGAUAUAAUGCACAAGCCAUGUGAAAGAGAGAGCGGUGGAUAGAUUCUGCCUGAUAAAGCAGGGGUGGUGUGGGGCAGAGGAAGGUGGAUACACCUCUAUCUCAACCGUUUGAUUGGGUGGUAUUUAUAUUAUAAAGCGCAAAGAGAUUCAUAAUCAACGGUUGGUUUUUGAAGGAUGAAAAGGACAAGCGAUAAACCUG
This 979-nucleotide long non-coding RNA is filed under the name Vigna radiata. RNAcentral describes it as "long non-coding RNA (VRAD_LNC003223)". Lineage: Eukaryota; Viridiplantae; Streptophyta; Magnoliopsida; Fabales; Fabaceae. The record is from RNAcentral.